RNAcentral lists this ribosomal RNA (373 nucleotides) under uncultured bacterium. RNAcentral's name for it is "bacterial SSU rRNA". It matches the Rfam family "Bacterial small subunit ribosomal RNA", at positions 525 to 896 of the family's 1533-position model. The record is from RNAcentral.
ACGGAGGAUGCAAGCGUUAUCCGGAAUUAUUGGGCGUAAAGCGUCCGCAGGUGGCCAUUCAAGUCUGUUGUCAAAGAGCGAGGCUCAACCUUGUAAAGGCAAUGGAAACUGAAUAGCUAGAGUGCGGUAGGGGUAGAGGGAAUUCCCGGUGUAGCGGUGAAAUGCGUAGAUAUCGGGAAGAACACCAGUGGCGAAAGCGCUCUACUGGGCCUGCACUGACACUGAGGGACGAAAGCUAGGGGAGCGAAAGGGAUUAGAUACCCCUGUAGUCCUAGCCGUAAACGAUGGACACUAGGUGUUGCGCGUAUCGACCCGUGCAGUGCCGUAGCUAACGCGUUAAGUGUCCCGCCUGGGGAGUACGCUCGCAAGAGUG